UGGCCCAAGGCUCUCUGACUGACUCCUUCCCAGAUCUUCUCGGCUUAGCGGCUGAAGACUGACACUGCUCAAUCACCUUGGAAGCCCCCUAGACCAUCACGGACGCCGAGCUUCAGGUAACUCUCACAGUGGAAAGUAAGCCCAUCCCCUUCUUAAUCAAUACAGAGGCUCCCCACUCCACAUUACCUUCUUUUCAAGGGCCUGUUUCCCUUGCCUCCAUAACUGUUGUAGGUAUUGACGACCAGGCUUCUAAACCUCUUAAAACUCCCCAACUCUGGUGCCAACUUAGACAAUACUCUUUUAAGCACUCCAUGCCCUGCUCUUGUUUACACUGCCGGUUUACACUGUUUUUCCAAGCCAUCACAGCUGAUAUCUCCUGGUGUUAUCCCCAAACUGCCACUCUUAACUCUUGAAAUAAAUAAAUAAUCUUUGCUGGCAGGACUAUGCCGAAUCUCCUUAGGCACUCUCUAAUCAGAUAUCCUGAGUCGUCCCAAUUCUUAGACCUUUUAUACCUGUUUUUCUCCUUCUGUUAUUCCAUUUAGUUUCCCAAUUCAUCCAAAACCGUAUCCAGGCCAUCACCAAUCAUUCUAUAUGACAAAUGUUUCUUAUAACAUCCCCACAAUAUCACCCCUUACCACAAUACCUCCCUUCACCUUAAUCUCUCCCACUCUAGGUUCCCACGCCGCCCCUAAUCCCGCUUGAAGCAGCCCUGAGAAACAUCGCCCAUUCUCUCUCCAUACCACCCCCCCAAAAAUUUUUGCCGCCCCAACACUUCAAUGCUAUUUUGUUUUAUUUUUCUUAUUAAUAUAAGAAGGCAGGAAUGUCAGGCCUCUGAGCCCAAGCCAAGCCAUCGCAUCCCCUGUGACUUGCACGUAUACGUCCAGAUGGCCUGAAGUAAUUGAAGAAUCACAAAAGAAGUGAAUAUGCCCUGCCCCACCUUAACUGAUGACAUUCCACCACAAAAGAAGUGUACCUUGUGAAAGUCCUUUUCCUGGCUCAUCCUGGCUCAAAAAGCACCCCCACUGAGCACCUUGCGACCGCCACUCCUGCCCGCCAGAGAACAAACCCCCAUUGACUAUAAUUUUCCUUUACCUACCCAAAUCCUAUAAAAUGGCCCCACCCUUAUCUCCCUUCGCUGACUCUCUUUUCGGACUCAGCCUGCCUGCACCCAGGUGAUUAACAGCUUUAUUGCUCACACAAAGCCUGUUUGGUGGUCUCUUCACACGGACGCGCAUUAAAAAAACAUCCUUACAUAAUAUGUUAAAGGAUGCUAUACAAUAUGGGGAAAAUGAUAUAAGUAUAUGACCCAAGAGGAUGAAAAAAUUCACUUAUUGGCAGAAAGGACAACAUCAUUUGUAUGUAGAAAAUCACCUCUCAAAAUAGUAAGUUGCUGAAAGGGGAGUGGUUGCGCUAGAAUCAGCACCAAUGACUCUUUUAUCCUAUUUCUCAGUUUUAGGGGAAAAGACUCUACAAAACUACAGGUGUUUUGCUGACAGUAGAAAAAAACCUUCCCUUGUUAACAUGUUAGUCAAGCUUUGGAAAAGACAUCACAUGUCAAAUCCUAUCACAGGAUGCUUUAUAGAGAUUAUCUAUUUUAAAUUUUAUUGGAAUUUCGAUGACAUCAAGUUGUUAUUGCUUGGACCACAGUGGUGGUGGUUAUCUGAAGAUUUCUGCAAAAGUGCCAUGCCUCCUCAAAUAAGCUCAAAGUUCAGAGGGGAAAAAAUGCAAUUUCAUUUAAAAGCUUGCCAUCAAAAAAAUUCUAAAACUAAAGUAGAAUAGUUUUGGUUUACUCUAGUCUUAUGUGCAAGUGUGAAUAUUGAGUUUUACAAGUUUUUCUUGUGUGUCAUUAUCCUCUAUUAAGUUAAGGCAUUUUAAUGGACUAAACAUGGUAAUUUCUUACUUAAUUGUUUAGUGAAGAGAGGCAUAAUGUUUCAAUUAGGAAAGAAUGAUCCCCCACAUGAGUGAAUCUGCCAUCUGUGUAUUCUCAUCUGUUAAAACUGUUAGUCAAAUCAACAAAAGUCCAAGUGCAAAGUCCCUAAACCAGUUGAAAUGGGCACACACUUGCUCUAGGGAAGGGGAAAUUUUAUUUUAAUUGAUUUUGUUCCAGCAGCAAUCCCUCUUCCUUUCCUGGGAAUACAUUUUGGCUGGGAUUUUGUGGCAUCAAUACAAAUCACUUCAAAGCAGCUAUUGCUCAUUUAUCCUCUACCUAGCGGCUCUGCUGACCCACCACUUGGAUAUCCAUUUUCCUGAGGUGGGGCAAAGAUGAGGCAUGACAAGACCACAGGAAUGGUGUAGGAAAAAACUACAGAGAAAUACUCAUACAGAAGACAGCACAAAGCUGCCUGCAGUACUGAUCGUCACAUGUUUAGAACUGGGAAAUGGUGGUCAGUUGUUAACAGAAAAUGCAUUUUCUUUGGUACCAAAAUACCAAUGGCUCAUCAAUCUUAAUACUUUUAUAAUAACAUUUUUUAAGGUUAAAUUCUUUCAAAACAUGUCACUCCAAAUUUCUGAUGAGGUCUAGUUACUUUUAAAUAAUUAGGCAACAUGAAUAGAGGAGAAGACUGAGGCAAUUAUUGGAUUCAUUGAGGAAUGCAUAAAACAUAAAAAUGACUUAAAUUUGCUAUUUAUGUAAUUUCGUGGUCUCAAAACCACACUUUAAUUGAAUCGAGUUUAGUAAGAGAUAAGACCACAGCAGUGUGGCAUGAUGUUUAAGAACACAGGCCUUAGGGUAGAUUGUUAGAGUCAAAUUCGAGCUCUGACUGUGUGACUUUGAGCCAGUUAUUUAACCUCUCUGUGCCUUGGUUUCUUCAUCUGCAAAAUGAGAGUAGUAAAUAGAAGCUUCCUCAUAGUGUAGUUGGAAGGGUUAAAUAUGCUGAAACCGUAAAUGGAAAGUACUUAGUACACACAGAUCCCACAGCUUUUUUUGUUCACUUUCAGACAUUAACAGUCUUAUUUUCAGACAUUAUUUUAAAAAUCCUUUUUAAAUUGAAACUUUCAUUUCUCAUUGAACUUAAAUCUCUUUGUCCCUAUACCAGCUCCAGCAUGACCUAUGCUUGGAUCCUGUAGUAGGGAAGAGGGAAGCGGUUAAUUCUUUAUCAUGUCUUUGCAGUAUUUUUUUACUCUACCUCCCUCACCCCUUUCUCUGUCUUUGGUUCCUGCAGGGGAGAGGGAAAAUCAUUUGGGGACAGCCAACUUCUUCCUUGAGCGGUGCAGUUAUAAUCAUGCAUUGUGCCCUCUGUGAGUGCUUCUUUCUCCUUUGAAAUUCUUCAGUGGGUUCUUCAGCAUCGCCCACUCUGUUGCUGGAGACCACCCAUUGUGCCCUUGGAUGGCGUGCCCAAUAUCCUUGGCCAGCUGGCUGCAUUCCCCACUCAGCUACUGAUUGUUGAUUGUUGUGCUUCACGAACUUCCCGCUGAGCGUCCUCUCAUCCUGGGGUGGAGAGCAGGCCCAUCACGGGGCUCCCACCUGCCUGCCUGCCAUACUGUCCAUGCCAGUGCCUGAGAAACACCGCCUCUGCUCCACUUUCAGUGGGAACCAGCGUUUUGCACCCCCCUCCAUAGCCUUUUCUCUUCACUCUACCACCUGAAGCAAUUCCCACUGGGCCGCUUCUUCACCUUUAAGUUUUCCAGCAGGAGAAGACAAGGAGAUGGAGAGACUGUCAACCUAGAACCAGUAAUGACCAGUUCCAACUUAAUUACAGAAAGGGAGAAAAGAUCAAUCAUUUAAGUUGCUUCAUCGUCUAAAUAAAAGUGUUUUGGCUGUUGAAACAUGAACCUAGACUCCUGCCUCAACAUAUUUAAAAUGAGAACAAAGUGGCAGUAUCAUGGUGGUGGGCGUUUAGAUGCUUACAUUGUUUUCAUCUACAAAACAGGCUUUCCUUUCACACCCUAGCUCUUUGCUGGGCUGGUGGAGCUGAUUGACAGAUAUAGCCCGCUCCAAAGGAACAGCCCUUUCUCAAGGAAUGAAUGAUUUGCUCUAAGUAUUUAAAUCCUCUGCUCAAAAUCAAACAUAAAUUGAAGUAUCAAAAUAAACAAAAAUAUGGUUUGUGGUUUUGAAAGCAUUUCUUUGUGAUUUUUGCUAAAAAGAGAAAUGCCAAAAAAAUUUUUUUAAAGAUUUUGAGACAAUUAUCUGGCGCAGUGGCUCACGCCUGUAAUCCCAGCACUUUGGGAGGCUGAGGCAGGCAGAUCAUGAGGUCAGGAGAUCAAGACCAUCCUGGCCAACAUGUUGAAACCCCAUCUCUACUAAAAAUAUAAAAAUUAGCUGGGCAUGAUGGGCGCCUGUAAUCCCAGCUACUCAGGAGGCAGAGGCAAGAUAAUCACUUGAAUCCAGGAGGUGGGGGUUGCAAUGAGCCAAGAUCAUGCCACUGCACUCCAA
Molecule: long non-coding RNA, 4372 nt
Filed under: Homo sapiens (human)
Lineage: Eukaryota; Metazoa; Chordata; Mammalia; Primates; Hominidae
Description: non-protein coding lnc-SSTR1-1:2
Source: RNAcentral